Molecule: non-coding RNA, 4182 nt
Organism: Macaca mulatta (Rhesus monkey)
Lineage: Eukaryota; Metazoa; Chordata; Mammalia; Primates; Cercopithecidae
Source: RefSeq, a predicted model, not a curated record
AGGUUCUCACUAGAUCUCCACUGAAAUCACCCUGUCUGAGAAGAGGAAAGGCUCUUACUGCUUCCCCCAGAGCCUCCCCUGAUACUAUGGUUGCCACUGAGACGUCCUGAAAGACUCACUCUCGGCUUGGUCUCAGUGGAAUAGGGAGGGCACCGUAUUUUCUGCUGGGUGGGAGUGGGGUUCUGGCUCCCCACACGGUCUCCAUGGACACCACCCAGCGGGAUGGGGGUGUUUUGUUUCCAUCUGGCAGGGAAGAAAUUCCCAGCCCCCUACUCAGUCUUACUCAACGGUGUUCUGAGGACCCGGCGGUGCCUGCUGAGCAUGGAAAUUCAAGCUCUUCACACUUGGCCUUUGCUGGUGUGAGGCUGAAGGUUUUUCUGUGGUGGUUCUCUGGAGUAGAGAGGUUAUUGUCUAAAAAUGAUCUGUCUUGCUAGGUUGCUCCUUUCUUUCUUAGAUUCUUUGUUAAAGCGAGCAGCUCUUCUCAGGGUCUUUUUGGUCUGCACUGAUUGGCGCUUCCAGCUUGCCACCUUCCCCAUUACCCAGUGUGGGAUGUGUGAAGCAAAAAGGAAACCCAGGUCCUCCCUCAGGUGCUAAAGUUCCGUGCCUGUCUGUCUUCUCCUCACUCUUCAGUCUUCUUGUGUUUGCUUUGUAUAUAAUGUCCAGAGAUUGUAGUUGUACUUAGCAGGAGGAAUACAGGAAAGAAUGUCUACUCCAUCUUCGAGAAGUGGGAGUCUUGUCUCCUGCUUUUGUAAGAUAACAGGUUUAGAUCUACACACACAUUUGCCUGGCUACACCUCUGUUCUCCCUGUAUCAGAGCACUUGUCACAGAAUGACAGUGAUUGUGCAAGUAUGUCUGAUCUCCUCUCGCCUGUGAGUAUGCCAGGAAGGCCGGUCUUGAUUUCAGUAUUUCUCAGCACAUAGUGGUCAUUCACUGCCGGUUGAGGUGCGUCUGCUGCCCAUUUCUAGCCAUGUCUUUUCAUAGGUGUGUGCAGCCCGAAAACCAUCAGUCACCUGCCCAGGUACCUCAGGACACCCUCAUCUUCCAUAUUGUGCCUGGAAUUGCUGAACUUGGGCCACAGAGGGUUCUGCUUCCAGGCUGGCUUCGCCUGGAGGAUAGUGGUUUCGGUGAAUCUCCUUAUCACCUGGUCCAACCGUAUCAUUUUACAGAUGGGCAAAGGAAGGCCUAGCAGGCGUACGGCUAUGGGCCAUAUAGUGGUGCGUACCCGCCAGGAACUCAAGUUGUCUAUGCUGCGAAUGGGCAGGCCUAUGCUGUGCCCUACCAGUACCCAUAUGCAGGACUUUAUGGACAGCAGCCUGCUAACCAAGUCAUCAUUCGAGAGCGGUAUCGAGACAACGACAGUGACCUGGCACUGGGCAUGCUGGCAAGAGCAGCCACGGGCAUGGCCUUAGGGUCUCUAUUUUGGGUCUUCUAGGGGCCUCAAGGUCUUGAUGUGCAUAGCUUCUGAUAACCCUGUGUGCAAUAAUAUGAUUUGCAGGGCAUUUCUGUGUGUGACAAAUGUUUUUAAUAAUAGUUUUAAUGGUUCCUUUGAAAGUAGUGAUGUCAUAAUUGUAACUAAUCCACAUAAGUACCACAGAGAAAGGUUUGAACUGUGCUGUUGUGUUCAAACGCUGGCUCUCCGGGGCACUGGCUCAUUCCAAGACUGUCCUUGUGCAACUCUCGGAACACCUUAUUUGAGCACACCUGUUUUGAAAGGCAUUUUCUUUUUAGAGUUAGGUGUAGUGCUUAAGGGUUAAUUUAUUUUCAUGUUAUGCUGGUAAUAUAGUGUUGUAUGCCUAAUGAGUGAUUGUGGCAAGAAAAGCUAUAGCUUUCCAUUUAACUUUUUCAAACCACAGACCAGAACUGGUUGCUUGUUACUUUAGGAGUUGUGGGUUGGUAAGCUCCCAGGUACUUCCCGGGGCCAUGGUGUGAGAGCCCCUGUCCUGCCCUCUGGGGCUCCACAGGCCCCCGGCAAGGCCUACGGCUCAGGAUGACAGGGCACAGCCCGCCUUUGAAAAAUGAUGCUUCAGAAGUCUGCCUGACUCUAGCUGCUGCUUCUCACCUUAUUCUGGUAUGGUUUUGGUAGCCAUACUUGGAGAACGUUUCCCGCAUUGGGAAUUGAUUUGAGCCUGCAAGUUUGAGGGCUUUAUCCUUUAAAACUUGGAGAAGCCGGAACAAUAACAAGUGUGUGGAGGCAGAUUUGCUUUAUUCCAAGAGAGCUGUUUGAGUGUGUGUCUGCCUAAGCCUCCCGAUAGCCUAGUUUUCUACUUGCUGAGGAUGUAAUGUUAAAGGAACAGCGAGGGAGCGGAAGGAGAGCCUUAGUUAGGGCGUUCCCAUUUCAGGCCUUCACGGGGUUACGCUGUGCGGGAGAUGCUCUCAUCUCUCUGAAGGCCCAUCCUGUGCAGAAGUGGGGCCUGUGACUGUUCACGGAGCACCAGGGCAGACCGUAGCUGAGCAGACUUGGGUUAUGGGUGGGAAAUGGGGCCCAGGGACCCUCAGGACACAGGGACUGGCUCAAGGUACCACUCAGCCCGGUCAGGAUCCCCAGCCUUGCUUUUGUUCUUGAUCUCUUUGUGAUAGAGAAGCUUAGAACAUUGAAUUUUGAGCCCCAAAAUGUGUGAGUCUUUGGAAAAACCAUUCCAGCCUUUCUGUCAAAUGCUCUUAUUUUCAGUAUUCUGAUGUAUGUAUUUGAAAUAUUCACAUUUCUGUUAUUUCUUGUUUUUAAGCUCUGAAUUAUUCCAGUUUUCUGUCCUGCAUGCUUUCAACAGUGUGCUUUUACAGAGGCAGUUUAGCACAGUGAAUGUCCCUGCCCCACACUCCAUAUGGUCCUGUUGUCCUGAAAAUACACUCCAGGUAGCACAGACUUGUUAUUUUGCCUGGCUGGUUACACACAUGCUGUCUUGCUUUGCUGCUCAGCCACCUCCCUCUGAGGCCAACUUAGGCCAACCUACCUGGGACUCCAUCUAAAGUCAGACGCCAGAGAAACUGAGUGGUGACCACGGGUCUGCUUUUCUCUCUGAUCCUAGGGGACGUGUUGACAUGGGAGUAUCUGUUCCCACAUGGAAGGAUGUGUGUUUAUCUCUCAUCUCUGAAUAGAUGUAAUAUAUGACAAGUCUAGUGUCCAUGGUUUAAAAUGUUGCUUUGAGGAUUCUCCAUCCUGUAUAAGAAGAAUGACUUUCUUCAGAUUAUAAUCAUUAUUAAAGCUGUAUGUACCCUUUACUUAAAAACUAUUAACAGUUUUUCAUGUUGCACUGGUAAUUUUGAACUUGGAAUUGCUGGGUGAGAAUUCCAGGAACCACAGAGUAUUGAUUUUUGCUGCCAAAAUGCUAUUGAGGCAGAUGUUCCUGUGCUCCCUUGGCUGCUUCUGGCUGAAGGGGAGAGGUGUGGACUGAAGCUUGGGCACUCAUGUGUGUCCCCUCCCCAGUCCCCAUCCCAGUGGGGCCAGCCUCAUUAGGCAGCCAUAGAUGAGCCUGGAACUUGACUGUCACUAGUGACUUGAUCCUGGUGUAAAAUGCAUACUCGGGAUAAGGUCACUCAGGUAUUUUAUUUCUUGGCCACAACUCCCAUAGAUGCCAAUGUUUUGAUAGCCUCGGUUUCUCAACGAUGUCCUUUGUUUACAGUGCUACACUUCAUACAAGUCAAGAAGUACUUGAGUUAGAAGAAACUUCUUAUUCAGGUUUGAGUAAGCAUUUUACUUCCAUGUGUACUUUUAAAUAAUCCAUACCUUGAAGAAGUUGGCCAGUGACAUUAUAUACAUGCUGAUCUGGUUGUUCUUUUCAUUCCUUGAGUCAGCUUCAGGGUCUUGGAUAUUAAAGAGGAGAGGGAGAACUGUUAAUAUUUCGGGUCAUCAUUUGUGAACAAGGCCAGACUUUGCCCAUUUUAGGUUAUCCAGGACUCAAGGUAGCCAUCUGGAUCAUAAGAAGGUCCUGCAGUUGAGACAAAAUGACCCAAGUGUAUUUUCCACAAGUUUUGAUCCUCUGUAAUAUUUCUUUUUCCUUCCCUAGUGUGUGUAGAUGAAGGCAUGGAAUGCAGUUCCACUUUCUCCCCAGAGUUGAUCUUUUUGUGAUUGCUUUCCCGUCUCUAGUAUUCUGUUGUGUCUAGAGAACUGAUUUUUUCCUACAUAUGCAGAUUGUACAUUUGUAAGUGAAAAUGUCAAUACAUUAAAGCAUUAACCUUAAAGCAUG